GGGGGUGUCCUGGCUUCGACGGGGGUAGCGAGAUUAUUUGGCGCAUGCCGAGGGGGCGACUUUCCUCGUUAAUCCAGUAGCAAAAUUUAGUUGCCAACGACGACAACUACGCUUUAGCCGCUUAAGGCUUCGCCCUGAACCCACUUGUGUCUGUGCUCGUGGAUGUAAGGUCAUUAUCACAGAAUCGUUUAGGGUGGCGACCCGCCAACCCAAGACUAGACUUAGCGGGUAUGUCUGACGGUGUGCCUCGCACGUUGUGUUGCCGGCUGACGAGAACGAACAACGAGCUAAGCAUGUAGUGCUGGAAAUGGAGCACUUUCGGACGCGGGUUCAACUCCCGCCACCUCCACCA
Molecule: transfer-messenger RNA, 352 nt
Filed under: Cyanobacteria bacterium CAN_BIN43
Lineage: Bacteria; Bacillati; Cyanobacteriota
Rfam family: transfer-messenger RNA
About the family: Bacterial tmRNA, also known as 10Sa RNA or SsrA, is named for its dual tRNA and mRNA-like properties.
Source: RNAcentral